This 497-nucleotide ribosomal RNA is filed under the name uncultured bacterium. RNAcentral describes it as "partial 16S ribosomal RNA". It matches the Rfam family "Bacterial small subunit ribosomal RNA", at positions 28 to 507 of the family's 1533-position model. The record is from RNAcentral.
GAUGAACGCUGGCGGCGUGCCUAAUACAUGCAAGUCGAGCGAACGGACGAGAAGGUUGCUUCUCUGUUGUUAGCGGCGGACGUGUGAGUCACACGUGGAUAACCUACCUAUAAGACUGGGAUAACUUCGGGAAACCGGAGCUAAUACCGGAUAAUAUUUUGAACCGCAUGGUUCAAAAGUGAAAGACGUUCUUGCUGUUACUUAUAGAUGUAUCCGCGCUGCAUUAGCUAGUUGGUCAGGUAACGGCUUACCAAGGCAACGAUGCAUAGCCGACCUAAGAGGGUCGUCGGCCACACUGGAACAGAGACACGGUCCAGACUCCUACGGGAGGCAGCAGUAGGGAAUCUUCCGCAAUGGGCGAAAGCCUGACGGAGCAACGCCGCGUGAGUGAUGAAGGUCUUCGGAUCGUAAAACUCUGUUAUUAGGGAAGAACAUAUGUGUAAGUAACUGUGCACAUCUUGACGGUACCUAAUCAGAAAGCCACGGCUAACUACGUG